UACGUAGGGUGCGAGCGUUAAUCGGAAUUACUGGGCGUAAAGCGUGCGCAGGCGGCUUGCCAAGUCAGAUGUGAAAGCCCCGGGCUCAACCCGGGAAUGGCGUUUGAAACUGGCAGGCUAGAGUUUGGCAGAGGGGGGUGGAAUUCCACGUGUAGCAGUGAAAUGCGUAGAUAUUGGGAAGAACACCGGUGGCGAAGGCGGCGACCUGGUCCGACACUGACGCUGAGGCGCGAAAGCGUGGGGAGCAAACAGG
Molecule: ribosomal RNA, 253 nt
Filed under: uncultured bacterium
Lineage: Bacteria
Description: partial 16S ribosomal RNA
Rfam family: Bacterial small subunit ribosomal RNA
Source: RNAcentral